RNAcentral lists this ribosomal RNA (209 nucleotides) under uncultured bacterium. RNAcentral's name for it is "partial 16S ribosomal RNA". It matches the Rfam family "Bacterial small subunit ribosomal RNA", at positions 524 to 739 of the family's 1533-position model. The record is from RNAcentral.
UACAGAGGGGGGCAAGCGUUGUCCGGAAUUACUGGGCGUACAGCGCGCGCAGGCGGUUGCCGACGUGCCGUGUGACAAACGGGCUCAACCCGAGGGCCCACGGUAAACGGGCGACUGGAGGACGGAGAGGAUGUGGAAUGCCGGUGGAGCGGUGAAUGCGCAGAUAUCAGGAGGAACACCGGUGGCGAAGGCGGUUCUCUGGCAUGUCC